GUUAAAGCAGACGAAGCCCCGCGCUGUUAAAGUGGGACUCUCGGUACCCAUCAGGGCCCUGCGCGUCUCUGUGAAGACGACAACCGACUUCGCCUCAUUCAGUGAACGCACACCCGGCGCGCUAAAGAGUCUUUAUUUGGGUUGCCACUCCAGACAAACUUCAAACCUGGGAGAGUGUGUAUUCUUGCACUCAGCCGCUUAUCCUCACGAGUGUCGCUGGGAGUGCCGGAGCCUAUCCCAGCUGUCAAGGGGCAGGAGGCAGGGUGCACCCUGAACUGGUUGCCAGCCAAUCGCAGGGCACAUGGAGACAAACAGUGACACUCACAAUCACACCUAGGGGCAAUUUCGAGUGUCCAAUUAAUGUUCCAUGUUUUUGGGAUGUGGGAGGAAACCAGAGUGCCCGGAGAAAACCCACGCAGGCACGGGGAGAACAUGCAAACUUCACACAGGUGGGGCCGGGAUCGAACCCUAGUCCUCAGAACUGUGAGGUCAACACUUGACCAGCUAAGUAACCGUGCCGUCCCAUUCACUAAUCUUUUUUUUUUUCCAAAACGAUGCUCCACAACUGUGUUUCCCAAGCUUUACUGUGCCAAGAAAUAUUUUACGUGAGAAAAUUCUCACAG
Long non-coding RNA from Syngnathoides biaculeatus (alligator pipefish), 623 nucleotides. RefSeq lists it as uncharacterized. Lineage: Eukaryota; Metazoa; Chordata; Actinopteri; Syngnathiformes; Syngnathidae. The transcript is spliced from 3 exons. The record is from RefSeq and is a predicted model, not a curated record.